GACGAACGCUGGCGGCGUGCUUAACACAUGCAAGUCGAGCGGAGCGGCGAACGGGUGAGUAACGCGUGAGUAACUGCCCCCCUCUCUGGGGUAACAGUUGGAAACGGCUGCUAAUACCGGAUAGUGGGGGAUGACUCGCGUCCUAUCAGCUUGUUGGUUGGGUAGUGGCCUACCAAGGCGACGACGGGUAGCCGGCCUGGGAGGGCGACCGGCCACCGUGGGCUAAGGGACGGCCCAGACUCCUACGGGAGGCAGCGGGGGGGAAUAUUGCACAAUGGGGGAAACCCUGAGGCAGCAACGCGCGGGCGGGAUGACGGCCUGCGGGUUGUAAACCGCUUUCAGCCAUGACGCGGUAGUGGCAGAAGAAGCACCGGCUAACUACGUGCCAGCAGCCGCGGUAAUUC
Molecule: ribosomal RNA, 404 nt
Filed under: uncultured bacterium
Lineage: Bacteria
Description: partial 16S ribosomal RNA
Rfam family: Bacterial small subunit ribosomal RNA
Source: RNAcentral